AUUCUAUGUCUUCCCUCCUGUCCAAAUGGCAGAGAUUGAUCCAGGGGUCAGUCUGUUCCCAAGUGGCAUACCUUGGCUCUAUGUGGUGUUUGCUAUACUCUUUGUAUUUUUCCUUUUUGUCAUGUUCUCGCCUUUUUUGCUCGAGAUAGACCAGCACACCAAGAAAUUCUUUCUCAGGUGCCGAUGUUCUCUGCGCAAUGUUUCCUAUAAGGAUAAAGACAAUAUUAAGAUGAAGAUGAACCAUCUGGGAGGGGCAAGAUGUCUUCUUCAGGCCCGUGGGAGAGAAGCUCCAAGAAGAGAGGCAGCUGGUGGGAGAGGAGACAGCUCAGUUCUGGUGGAGAUGGUGGGAGAGAGGACCCAGGAAGUCUGCCCAGUGACAGCAGUUUGAGGCGACCACAUCUGCGUCACAUGUCACAGAAAGGUGCUUCUAGCAUUCUCAUCAUUAUUUAUACUUAAGCGAAUGUGAUAAUAAAGAUUUUGAGCAUCUCAGAAACGAUCA
This is a long non-coding RNA of Mus musculus (house mouse), 499 nucleotides long. RefSeq annotates it as RIKEN cDNA 1700013D24 gene. The record is from RefSeq and is marked validated. The transcript has 3 exons. NCBI's taxonomy places the organism in Eukaryota, Metazoa, Chordata, Mammalia, Rodentia, Muridae.